Molecule: long non-coding RNA, 2747 nt
Organism: Nymphaea colorata (pocket water lily)
Lineage: Eukaryota; Viridiplantae; Streptophyta; Magnoliopsida; Nymphaeales; Nymphaeaceae
Exons: 2
Source: RefSeq, a predicted model, not a curated record
AAUUGUCUUUUUAUAAGGUGGGUCCAGAUCCAUUUUUAGGUGAUUUCGAGUUCGAUUUCUAUCCAGAUCAUUUUUUUUGGUUGGGGAAGCUUCCUGAUGACGUCGAAGGCUUAAAUUAUGGAUUGGAUAGGUGUUUCAGGCUAAAAACAUAUUUUAAGUGCAAUUUUAAAUUUUUUGAGGCGAGGUUGAGUUGAUAAGUAAAGGUGAGGCUCAUGCACGUACAGAGAUUUGAACAUUGUUGGAAUUGAUUCUCGGACUCGAUUUUGGAUUUUGAGUUGGAAUCUUAAUUUGGAUCCAGAUCUUUUGGUUUUUGGAUCUACUUUGGAUGUAUGGUGGUUUAUUGGAUCUAUUUCCUAUUUUGGGUCUGAUUUUGCUUUUUGGGUUUAAUUACAGAUUUUGACUUUGUUUUUUCAGUUUGGGGUAUGAUUUUGGAUCUGGGACUCAGAUUUAGAUUUAGAUCUGGAUCUAAGCCUUGAAUUUGGGUUCAGAUAUAGUUCUAUUUUGGAUUUAGAGCUAAGAUUUGGAUUCAGAUAUGGAUCUAAGGAUCUGUUUUGGAUCUAGAGCUGCAAUAUGGGUUUGGAUAUGGACUUAAGGAUCUGCUUUGGAUAUAGAGCUGGAAUUUGGAUUUAGACAAGGAUCUAAGGAUUUUUUUGGAUCUAGAGCUGGAAUUUGGGUUCAGAUAUGGAUCUAAAGAUUUGUUUUGGAUCUAUAGCUAGAAUUUGGGUUCAGAUGGAUCUAAGAAUCUGUUUUGGAUUUAGAGCUGGAAUUUGGGUUCAGAUAUGGUUCUAUGGAUCUGUUUUGGAUGUAGAGCUGUGAUUUGUGUACUAGACCUAUAUUUGAUUUUGGAUUCAAAGCAUGGAACAAGUCUAAAUUGGGGUUGAGCUUGGCGGUCCAAAGUUUGAAAUUAGAUCCAAACGAGUCACAAGUGACCGAUCAUCAAAUCGGAAGAGAAAUUGAUCAAAAUGAAGGGAAAUUGAAGUGCUUGAGACCCAAAUUACAUCAUUAAAAGUUGUUGUAAAUUUGUCAAAUAUGUUGAAUAUAGUCUUUUUUGAAAAAUUUGGGGUGAUAACAUUUACAUUUCACCAUAUCUUGUUUUAUGUGGUCAAUGUGCCGCGCUUUUACAACCUAUUACUUGAGCAACUAUGGAUCUACUCUACAAACGUGGUGAUGACUUCAAUGUCCCAUUAAUGCAGAAAGUUGAGUAGAUAAAGAGUCGUGGUAUUAGUAGAACACCUGGAAGAAAGGCUACCUCAAUUGAUGAUCGUGUAAUUGGCAUGUGUGGUUGAGAUUCCAAGCAUCAUGCACGAGAAUGAAAUCUCUCUAAGAGCAUGGAGAAGCUCAAAUUGAGGUAAGCCAUGGAGCAAACAAUUCUAUGAUGUUAUUAUGGCAAGGGCCGAUGAUAUUUAAACUUGAAGGUGGAAUAAUGGCUGGAACAUCAACAGCCAUCCAUUGCGAACAAAUUUCAUGAAGAUGAAGAAGAGUUACCACUUGAGCCUUAAACACAGGUGUUAACCCUUUAAAGGUUAAUGAACAUGACGGCCUUGAGCCCUUGAAGCCACCAAGACAAAUCAGAAAGAUGGCACUCGACUACAAAGGGAAAAGUUCCAGAAACAAAAUGACAUUUGCCGAGCCAGUUGUAGUGGUCUGAACAUAUAGGGCGUGUUUGUUAACCAAGAAUUGCACUGUGGAUUAGGAAUGAGAAUUCCAAAUUCCACUUAUUCUUGAUUUCAAGCAAACAUGGCACAGUUUUAUCGAUCAUUAGCACCUUAAUUUGGGGUCAGUCUUCUGGCAAUCCCAUCGAACCUAGAGGGGUGUGAUGAACAUGCAUGGAUUAGUCCUUUUUCUUUCAGAUGGAUGAUGCCAACAUUGAUAGUCACUGGCAUCACAGCUGUUGGGUAGUGGUAGUGGCCAUGAGCCCUAACUGUAAGGGGGGCCACUUGCAGUUACGAGCUUUAAUGCUCACCUAAAAUCUCUCACUUACGUAACCGCUGCUAGGGUUGGGGAAAUCCUAAGGGGCUGGACUAUAUAUUCCUAGCCUAUCCAGAGUUUGAGUAACUCUCUAACACAUCAUCCGUGAGGAGCCCUUGAGAAGGAAACCCCUAAAUUAGUUUUCUUCUUCUUUCUCUUUCUUUUGUCUUGUUGGUUUCACAGGGAUAUUCGUUACACACUGGAGCCGUGGGAGAUUCUUCUGCACCGACUUCCGCUGCGACUCCCAUAAAUCCAUCAGUUGUAUCAGAGACAGGUUUAUCGAACACCAGGAUAUUCGUUGCACACUGGAGCCGUGGGAGAUUCUUCUGCACCGACUUCCGCUGUGACUCCCAUAAAUCCAUCAACAGCCUUCCUCCUGAAGGCCAACAAUUUCACAGACCCAUCUGCAUAGUGCUUGCAAACCUGAUGGAGAACACCUUCACCAUCUCAGCUCCCAACAAUUGAUCGUCAACGAUGCUUGUGAUGGAGGAGAAGGGCAAAUAAAGAAACAGGAAACAACAACUAUGCCCGAUGUAGCAACAUCUCAAAAAAUUAAAGCAUUGACGAGACCUGACAAACAAUGAUGGGCACUAUGACUAUUUCAUCAGCAAAAGACAAUGAAAGAAAACAACAAACAACACGAUCAUUGAUAUCCAACAUAGCUAUCUCGGGCACUAGGGCUCCUGAAAUAGCCCCAUUGAUUAGUUUUUUUUUUUGUGGCGGCAAAAAGUAAACAAAAACCUAAAGACGCAUAGAAUUUUCUUCUGACGGUUGUUUUA